RNAcentral lists this long non-coding RNA (294 nucleotides) under Cucumis sativus (cucumber). RNAcentral's name for it is "long non-coding RNA (CSAT_LNC003044)". The record is from RNAcentral. Lineage: Eukaryota; Viridiplantae; Streptophyta; Magnoliopsida; Cucurbitales; Cucurbitaceae.
GCGUUAGCCAUAGGGACACAAAAACAUAGAUUUACAUCGUAAGUCAGUCUACAGAACCUAAAACUUAGGCUCUGAUACCAACUGUACCGACUCAACUUUUCUAAGUAAGUCGAGAUCGUUAAUUUUUAACAAAUAAAGACUUUGAUUAAUAUAAAACAAAACGUAAACAAUUAAAAAAAAAAAAACAUCUUCAAGUCAGGCCUGAUUUUUAAACAUUCAAGAAAACAUAAAAUAAUACUAUUUACAACAAACGUUUGUAAACUAAAUUUCAAUUCAUUUUAAACCUCACAAGAA